AUUGAACGCUGGCGGCAUGCUUUACACAUGCAAGUCGAGCGGCAGCGCGGGGGGCAACCCUGGCGGCGAGCGGCGAACGGGUGAGUAAUGCAUCGGAACGUACCCUGGAGUGGGGGAUAACGCCGCGAAAGCGGCGCUAAUACCGCAUACGAUCUACGGAUGAAAGCGGGGGAUCGCAAGACCUCGCGCGAUUGGAGCGGCCGAUGGCAGAUUAGGUAGUUGGUGGGGUAAAGGCUCACCAAGCCGACGAUCUGUAGCUGGUCUGAGAGGACGACCAGCCACACUGGGACUGAGACACGGCCCAGACUCCUACGGGAGGCAGCAGUGGGGAAUUUUGGACAAUGGGCGCAAGCCUGAUCCAGCCAUUCCGCGUGCAGGAUGAAGGCCUUCGGGUUGUAAACUGCUUUGUUACGGAACGAAACGGCCUUUCUAUACAAGAGGCUAAUGACGGUACCGUAAGAAUAAG
RNAcentral lists this ribosomal RNA (466 nucleotides) under uncultured bacterium. RNAcentral describes it as "bacterial SSU rRNA". It matches the Rfam family "Bacterial small subunit ribosomal RNA", at positions 29 to 490 of the family's 1533-position model. The record is from RNAcentral.